GUAUAAAAAGCGAAAAAUUCGCAUUCGGUUUCGGCCCGUACUUUGAGGGUGCAAGUCCUUCUUUAUACU
RNAcentral lists this transfer RNA (69 nucleotides) under Clavatula tripartita. Its description in RNAcentral is "tRNA-Arg". It matches the Rfam family "tRNA". From Rfam's summary of the family: Transfer RNA (tRNA) molecules are approximately 80 nucleotides in length. Their secondary structure includes four short double-helical elements and three loops (D, anti-codon, and T loops). The record is from RNAcentral. Lineage: Eukaryota; Metazoa; Mollusca; Gastropoda; Neogastropoda; Clavatulidae.